Molecule: ribosomal RNA, 279 nt
Filed under: uncultured bacterium
Lineage: Bacteria
Description: partial 16S ribosomal RNA
Rfam family: Bacterial small subunit ribosomal RNA
Source: RNAcentral
UGCCAGCCGCCGCGGUAAUACGGAGGGUCCAAGCGUUAUCCGGAUUCAUUGGGUUUAAAGGGUGCGCAGGCGGGCCUUUAAGUCAGUGGUGAAAUCUUGCCGCUUAACGGUAAAAUUGCCAUUGAAACUGAAGGUCUUGAAUAUGGUUGAGGUCGGCGGAAUGUGUUGUGUAGCGGUGAAAUGCAUAGAUAUGACACAGAACGCCGGUUGCGAAGGCAGCUUACUAAGCCAUUAUUGACGCUGAGGCACGAAAGCGUGGGGAGCGAACAGGAUUAGAUA